Molecule: ribosomal RNA, 468 nt
Filed under: uncultured bacterium
Lineage: Bacteria
Description: partial 16S ribosomal RNA
Rfam family: Bacterial small subunit ribosomal RNA
Source: RNAcentral
GACGAACGCUGGCGGCGUGCUUAACACAUGCAAGUCGAACGGAAAGGCCCUGCUUUUGUGGGGUGCUCGAGUGGCGAACGGGUGAGUAACACGUGAGUAACCUGCCCUUGACUUUGGGAUAACUUCAGGAAACUGGGGCUAAUACCGGAUAGGAGCUCCUGCUGCAUGGUGGGGGUUGGAAAGUUUCGGCGGUUGGGGAUGGACUCGCGGCUUAUCAGCUUGUUGGUGGGGUAGUGGCUUACCAAGGCUUUGACGGGUAGCCGGCCUGAGAGGGUGACCGGCCACAUUGGGACUGAGAUACGGCCCAGACUCCUACGGGAGGCAGCAGGGGGGAAUAUUGCACAAUGGGCGGAAGCCUGAUGCAGCAACGCCGCGUGCGGGAUGACGGCUUUCGGGUUGUAAACCGCUUUCGCCUGUGACGAAGCGUGAGUGACGGUAAUGGGUAAAGAAGCACCGGCUAACUACGUG